Molecule: ribosomal RNA, 160 nt
Filed under: Aeromonas salmonicida subsp. salmonicida 01-B526
Lineage: Bacteria; Pseudomonadati; Pseudomonadota; Gammaproteobacteria; Aeromonadales; Aeromonadaceae
Description: partial 16S ribosomal RNA
Rfam family: Bacterial small subunit ribosomal RNA
Source: RNAcentral
GGGCUCGCGGCCUAUCAGCUUGUUGGUGGGGUAAUGGCCUACCAAGGCGACGACGGGUAGCUGGUCUGAGAGGAUGGCCAGCCACAUUGGGACUGAGAUACGGCCCAGACUCCUACGGGAGGCAGCAGUGGGGAAUAUUGGACAAUGGGCGCAAGCCUGA